UUCAGCCCGGCAAACAAGACCCUGAGACCUUGAACAAUUGGGACGAUACAGAGAAGUUUAGCAUGGCCCCUGCGCAAGGAUGACACGCACACACCGAGAAUCGUGCCGAAACAUU
This 115-nucleotide small nuclear RNA is filed under the name Symbiodinium microadriaticum. Lineage: Eukaryota; Dinophyceae; Suessiales; Symbiodiniaceae. The record is from RNAcentral.